RNAcentral lists this ribosomal RNA (253 nucleotides) under uncultured bacterium. RNAcentral's name for it is "partial 16S ribosomal RNA". It matches the Rfam family "Bacterial small subunit ribosomal RNA", at positions 524 to 776 of the family's 1533-position model. The record is from RNAcentral.
UACGGAGGAUCCAAGCGUUAUCCGGAUUUAUUGGGUUUAAAGGGUGCGUAGGCGGAUUGAUAAGUUAGAGGUGAAAUGUCCGUGCUCAACUCGGGAACUGCCUCUAAUACUGUUGAUCUAGAGAGUAGAUGCGGUAGGCGGAAUGUAUGGUGUAGCGGUGAAAUGCUUAGAGAUCAUACAGAACACCGAUUGCGAAGGCAGCUUACCAAUCUAUAUCUGACGUUGAGGCACGAAAGCGUGGGGAGCAAACAGG